ACAGUUUGCCAGGGGUGCUCUUGUUUGAGCUGAGACCAAACCCUUCGAACCUGAUUUGGCUAAAACCAACGUAGGGAGCGCAAGAUGAACCAUUC
RNAcentral lists this non-coding RNA (95 nucleotides) under Gammaproteobacteria bacterium. Its description in RNAcentral is "TPP sequence". It matches the Rfam family "TPP riboswitch aptamer (THI element)". From Rfam's summary of the family: Vitamin B(1) in its active form thiamin pyrophosphate (TPP) is an essential coenzyme that is synthesised by coupling of pyrimidine and thiazole moieties in bacteria. The record is from RNAcentral. Lineage: Bacteria; Pseudomonadati; Pseudomonadota; Gammaproteobacteria.